Nicotiana tabacum (common tobacco) is the source of this 857-nucleotide long non-coding RNA. RefSeq lists it as uncharacterized. The record is from RefSeq and is a predicted model, not a curated record. NCBI's taxonomy places the organism in Eukaryota, Viridiplantae, Streptophyta, Magnoliopsida, Solanales, Solanaceae.
CCUCAGUCAUCGUCCCAAAACCACCCCUAAUUAGCUCUGUGUAACACCACCGCCCGCCACCGACGGAAAUCGCCCACGGCGGCAGCCCACCUCCAAAUGCCACCAAAAAUACAACCUAGAUUCCCUGUUCCUUCCUCUCUCCAAAUCCAUACCCCUUUUUCCUCGAAUCACAGCCAAAACCUUCGAAUCUUAGAUCAAAGAAACUCCGGCCAAAACGUCACCUUGCCCAAACACCACCAAAUUUACACCACAAGACUGCCUCAGUGUCCUCUAUCGAACCCCCUUAACCCCGUCCCUCGAAUCCCGUCGGAACUGUUCGAAUAUCAGUUUAUGUUUUUCCGGCCAAAACCCUAGUCACACCAACUCGCCCCAAAAUGAUACCAUAUGUCCCUUGGGCCCUCCUCAUCAAGAAUUCAAUGUCAUUAACACUCAAUUACCACUAGAGACGGCCGAAUUUGAAGUGUGAAAGUCAGCCGGACUUCGAGCCAUGGUACACAUUCUAAUCAUGUGUGAUGGAGCUGUGAAGUGAAGUAAUAAAAUGAAGUUUUCGUCCAUUUGAAUACCUGUAGUUUAAUUAGUAAUGUUUUAAUUUUAGCUUGUUGGAACUGUGUUGAAUUGGAACUAAUACUGGAUUGUUACGGGCUGUUUGAUCUCUGGUUAUUCAACAUUAGUUUUUUAAAAAAUAGUAGGUAUUUCCUGAUUCUACUAGCCUCGUUCUGUUAAAAACUAAAAAUCAAAACAGUUUGUUAUUGCAGUAGUUAACAGGUAUUGAUGGCUGGAUAAUAGUUUAUUCUAGUUGUUAUAGUUGUUAUCUAAUCAGUUGUGAAUAAAGUAAGUCCAGGUUAUUGGCAUGUUUA